AUGAUCUCUGUUCAUAGGGCCCUUCUUGACUUAGGGCGCCUCGCUUUCCGUCGGCCAUUUGGGCCGGCGGAAUCCGCCGCCUGGCGUGAGUUGCUUGACUGCGUUGCUCUGCAUGAGCCGGUGGUGGAUGGGGAUCAGGAUCUUGUGCGCUGGCACCUGGAGCCGUCGGGCCAGUUCUCUACCAAAUCGCUAUACUUGGCCAUUGCCCCCUCCUCCGCUCCCCUCCCCCUAUCGAUGGUGUGGUCCGUCCGCGUCCCCCUGAAGAUUCGCAUCUUCAUGUAG
Molecule: ribosomal RNA, 282 nt
Filed under: Triticum aestivum (bread wheat)
Lineage: Eukaryota; Viridiplantae; Streptophyta; Magnoliopsida; Poales; Poaceae
Description: partial small subunit ribosomal RNA
Source: RNAcentral